CUGCAGCUGGUUUUCCUGAUGUGCACUCAGCUGUUCCCAUAAUCAGAGGAGCUCAGUCUUCGCCGUCACCGGGAAUGGCUGCUGGUCUUUGCCUUGAGCGUGUCUAGCUCCAGUGCAGACCCCUCAGCCUGGUGGCAUGGACCCUUCAGCCUGCUGGAGCAGGCUUUCUAUUUUGUACCACUGGCCUUUCGGCCUUCCUGAUGCAGAUCCUUGAUACAGACUUGCAGGAGACAUUGCCGUGGGCUCUAGGGUUGUGGCUGGAUUCAUGGAGGACAUUGCUGUGGGAUCGCGGCCUCAGACAGAUCUCUUGCACUCCUCUGCAUUUGAUUUUUUUGGGAGAAUCGAAUGCCCCCACUUACAGCAGGCAGAGCUCAGGCAGAAAGGCAAGCAUGGGAGCAGCUGUAAAUACAGACUGUCUUCAACUACAGCAGAGAAGCCCUGUUGGAGACAGAGAAGGUGGGAUUUAUUUAUGGUGCUGAGGAUUGAACCUAGGCCCUUUGCACUGAGCAAUGUCCCUAGCCCUUUUUAAUUUUUUUUUGAGAUAAGGUCUUGCAAAAUUGCUAUUUUCCAGGCUGGGCUUGAACUUGUGACCUUCCCACUCAGCCUCCAGAGUGCGGGGAUCACAGACAUGCACCACCACACUCAGCCAGGUGGGUCAGUUAAAAAAAGGGUAGUCUGAGAGCUCCAAGUAGCCCUUCAUUCAUCUAGUUAACUAACAUUUAGAGCACCUACUAUGUCUAGGUACCAUGCCCUACCGGAAGGCUGAAAUGAAUAGAACAUGGGCUUUCUCUUGAAGAACUCUAUAGUCAAAGAAACCUCAAACUAAAUUCCACCAGACAUAACAGAUUUGAGCUGGGAGUGGUUAUACAACCCUGUAAUCCCAGUACUCAGGAGGCUGAGGCAGGAGAACUGCUGUGAGUUUGA
Non-coding RNA from Heterocephalus glaber (naked mole-rat), 924 nucleotides. Lineage: Eukaryota; Metazoa; Chordata; Mammalia; Rodentia; Bathyergidae. The record is from RefSeq and is a predicted model, not a curated record.